GGUAUUAGAUGAUGAAGAACUUGUCUCCUAUAAUAUGGAUAGGUUAGAUUCAUAUAUUAUACACCACAUAUAUCUUCAAUCAUGUAUUGAUCAGAUCCUAUAUCUGUUAGUGAGUCGUAUGCACAAUCUCUUGGUUUUGAUA
Molecule: non-coding RNA, 142 nt
Organism: Zea mays
Lineage: Eukaryota; Viridiplantae; Streptophyta; Magnoliopsida; Poales; Poaceae
Source: Rfam